GUAUCAAUGGUCUAGCCUGCCCGGUGAAGUUUUAACGGCCGCAGUACUUUGACUGUGCUAAGGUAGCAUAAUCAGUUGACUUUUAAAUGGAGUCGGGAAUGAAUGGUUGAACUGGGCUUAGCUGUCUUAAAAAUAUUUAUUUGAAUUUGCUUUUUAAGUGAAAAAGCUUAAAUGAUAUAAAAAGACGAGAAGACCCUUAGAAUUUUUAUUAGUUGAACUUUUGUUUUUAUUGGGGCGAUAAAGAAACAUAUUUUAACUUUCUUAUUAUACUAGCCGAUAAUGUUAAGAUUGGAUAAAUUACCUGAGGGAUAACAGCAUAAUUUUAAAGUUAAGUUUGUGACCUCGAUGUUGGACUAGGAAACUGGCAGGCUAGCCGUUUGCUAUGUUGGUUCUGUUCGAACUUUUAUUCCU
RNAcentral lists this ribosomal RNA (411 nucleotides) under Phyllodesmium longicirrum. Its description in RNAcentral is "partial 16S ribosomal RNA". It matches the Rfam family "Bacterial large subunit ribosomal RNA", at positions 1843 to 2597 of the family's 2925-position model. The record is from RNAcentral. Lineage: Eukaryota; Metazoa; Mollusca; Gastropoda; Nudibranchia; Glaucidae.